RNAcentral lists this transfer RNA (75 nucleotides) under Clostridioides difficile. RNAcentral describes it as "tRNA-Trp". It matches the Rfam family "tRNA". From Rfam's summary of the family: Transfer RNA (tRNA) molecules are approximately 80 nucleotides in length. Their secondary structure includes four short double-helical elements and three loops (D, anti-codon, and T loops). Further hydrogen bonds mediate the characteristic L-shaped molecular structure. tRNAs have two regions of fundamental functional importance: the anti-codon, which is responsible for specific mRNA codon recognition, and the 3' end, to which the tRNAs corresponding amino acid is attached (by aminoacyl-tRNA synthetases). tRNAs cope with the degeneracy of the genetic code in two manners: having more than one tRNA (with a specific anti-codon) for a particular amino acid; and 'wobble' base-pairing, i.e. permitting non-standard base-pairing at the 3rd anti-codon position. Lineage: Bacteria; Bacillati; Bacillota; Clostridia; Peptostreptococcales; Peptostreptococcaceae. The record is from RNAcentral.
AGGGGUGUAGCUCAGUUGGUAGAGCGUCGGUCUCCAAAACCGUGCGCCGGGGUUCGAGUCCCUCCACCCCUGCCA